AGCCAGCAAGCUUAAUGGCCGGUCACACCCAAACUCAAGGACCUGCAACACACAACAUAUGCUCAAUCAGGAAAUCAUAUUGACCAGGCGAGUAUGCACAUCCAGGCCAGGAUAAUCUAACUUCCAGAACCUAAAGAUGUGAAAGGUCGCAAUAUCAAGUUCAUCAAUCAGACAUGUAUCAAGUGACCAGGCCCAACCACCACCAGCAAGAAUGCAACAUGAAGAGAGAGUGCUGCCAAGGGAGGAUGCGGCCAGGGGAGGAGCAAGACCAAGUCCGCGCUGCCAAGGGAGGAGGCGGCCACGCCGGGCCGGAGGACGCAGCAGCCAGUCAGAAGGGGGGGGGGGUCGCCAGAUCGGAUCUGGGCCGGCCAAGCCGCACGCGUGGGGGAGUCACCGAGGCGUCGUCGUCACGGAUCCGGGGACGAACUUCAUCACCAGAGACGAGGAAGGCCGCACGGGAGGGGCGGGGAUGGUGGUGGAGGGGCUCCCGGCCAGAUCUACGUAUGGUGGGGUGUGGGCUCUAGCAGGAGGUAGGGAGACAGAACCGCCCCGCCGCCGCCGUCCCUGGGCGCGGCGCGGCUUCGCCGGCCGGCCCUCCGGCAGCGGCGUUGCGAGUAGCGGUGAGGGCGGAGCGGGCCUUGGGCGGCGGCGCGGUUUUCCCCCGUGAGGCCGUGACGCUAGAUGGACGGUGUUUGAGAUCGAGGGGAGCCUCGUU
RNAcentral lists this ribosomal RNA (715 nucleotides) under Triticum aestivum (bread wheat). RNAcentral's name for it is "partial small subunit ribosomal RNA". The record is from RNAcentral. Lineage: Eukaryota; Viridiplantae; Streptophyta; Magnoliopsida; Poales; Poaceae.